RNAcentral lists this small RNA (80 nucleotides) under Manihot esculenta (cassava). RNAcentral's name for it is "precursor microRNA miR395d". Lineage: Eukaryota; Viridiplantae; Streptophyta; Magnoliopsida; Malpighiales; Euphorbiaceae. The record is from RNAcentral.
CUAGAGUUCUCCUGAUCACUUCAUUGUAGACUCAAUAAGGAGUAGUUGUUUGCACUGAAGUGUUUGGGGGAACUCCUGGU